Xylariaceae sp. AK1471 is the source of this 72-nucleotide non-coding RNA. Lineage: Eukaryota; Fungi; Ascomycota; Sordariomycetes; Xylariales; Xylariaceae. The record is from the annotation of a GenBank genome assembly.
UCGGCCAUGACUCAUUGGUAGAGUGCAGAUUUUCAUAAUCUGAUGUAAUGGGUUCGAUUCCCAUUGGCAAAG